UCUCUCUCUCUUCUUGUUUCUCAACACUGCGAGAGACGUGGGAGGGAGAGAUUUUCUCCAUUGCAUCAAGAUUUGCCGGUGAAGAAGCUUCAUUUCUCGUUGUGGGGAGUCUUGGGACGGUGGGAAGCUUGGAGAAAGAGGGUUUUUUGGUUUUUAACACCAAGAAGGUAAGAAAUAACUCAUUUUUGCCGUUGAAUCGUUCAUUUCUCUUAUUUCCUACAUUUAUUUGUAUGUUUUUACUUGUUUUGUGAAGAUAUAAUGUCGGAUCCUGCAUGGCAGUGGUGUACAAGGGUGAAUCCCAAAGAUAGAUUAAGAGUUAAGUGCAAUUAUUGUAAGCAAAUCAUAUCAGGAGGGAUUUCUCGCUUUAAACACCAUAUAGCUGGUACACACAGCGAUGUGGCUGCUUGCAAUGGCUCCCAAGAGAUCCCAUUGCCAGCGUAUGUAAAGCACCAGUGUCAGCAGCUUCUUGAUGCAGUGAAAGCAAGUAGGAUUGAAAAGGACAUGGAAGAUGCGGAGGAAGGUUAAGGGGACCCACAUGAAGGAGAAGAAAGUGAAGGUGAAGAUGUUCAACUUGAACAAGAAGAUGUUGGUGUCAGUUUGGGAACAACUAAAGGGAAAGGCAUCAUGCAUGGAGGUGGUUCUUCUGCAACUGCAACCAGAAAAAGAAGAGGUGCAAGUAUAAGUUCAGUUUCACGAGGACGUGGUAGAAGUCAGGGUCGUACUGGUGGUGGUAGAGUACCUACUAUGAAGUCGAGCAAUAUGUCUGGUUCGAUCAAGAAUUUUUUUCCCAAUUAUACUGCUGCUGGUGCUCAGCCUGAGAUUCGUAUAGCCAUGCAAUCAAAGGAUAUUAUUAAAGCAGCAGAUGAAACCAUAGGAAGGUGGUUCUAUGAUGCAUCCAUUCCCUUCAAUGCAGCAAACUCUUAUCAUUAUCAGCCUAUAGCAGAUGUGAUUGCUAGUGUAGGGCGAGGGUAUAAAAUGCCCUCUUUUCAUAAAUUGCGAGGUAAAAUUCUCAACAAUAUAGUUAGAGAUGUGAAGACAUAUUGUGAUGAACUAAAGUUGAGUUGGAAAGCUACAGGAUGCAGUGUAAUGGCAGAUGGGUGGACAGACAUCAAGAACAGAACAUUGGUAAACUUCCUUGUAUAUUGCCCUCUUGGUACUAUGUUCUUAAAAUCUGUUGAUUUGUCUGAUACUCCGAAGACUGCUGAUGUGUUGUUUGGGAUUUUUGAUAAAGUUAUAGAAGAAGUUGGGCCUGAAAAUGUCGUACAAUUUAUCACUAAUAAUGCAGCAAAUUAUAAAGCUGCAGGUGAAAUGUUAGCAGCACGAUAUGGGACAUUUUAUUGGAGUCCAUGUGCUGCUCACUGUGUAAAUCUUAUGCUUCAGGAUCUUGGUGAAAGGGAUGAUAUGAAGUUGACAGUUCACAGAUGCCAAGAAAUCACGAAGUUUAUUUACAAUCAUGCUUAUGUCUUGAAUUUGAUGAGGAAAUUCACAAAUGGGGCUGAAUUGAUUCGACCUGCACAAACACGGUUUGCUACAAAUGUUUUGACUGUGCAGGGUAUAGUCAAGCAAAGAUCUUCUCUCAGGCAGAUGUUUUCAAGUGAUGAUUGGGCUGCAUAUCCACAUGCCUAUAAAAGAAAGGCUACGACAGUUGUGGAUACCAUCUUCGAUGUUGACUUUUGGGAAUCAUGUGUGCACUUAUUGAAGAUUUGUGUACGAAAGUCCUCAGAUUAGUUGAUAGUGAAGAUAGACCUUCUAUUGGAUAUUUAUACGAGUCUAUGGAUAGAGCCAAGGAGGCCAUUAGAGAUAAUAUGAAGGGAAAAAAGAAGUUGUACAUGCCUAUAUGGAAGAUUAUAGAUGAAAGGUGGUCUGGACAACUUCAUCGCCCACUUCAUGCAGCAGCCUACUACCUAAAUCCUGCCAUUAGAUAUCUUCCCACUUUUAAGAAGGACAGAGAGGUCGAGUAUGGCAUGUUGGAUUGCAUUGAUGUAUUAGUAAGUGAUAGUAAAGAACAAGACGCUAUCCAUAUGUCGAUCAACAAAUAUGAUACGGCUUCUGGUACCAUGGCGAGAGACACAGCAGUUCGAUGCAGGACAACUAUGCGUCCAGGUAUUAGAAAAAGAAACUUUAUACUUUUUGUUGUUUAGCUUUUAUUCUACCUUCUCAUAUAUUUAUUUCUGACAACAUUUUUACUUUCCAUCUGUUAUUAGAUUUGUGGUGGGAAAGGUUUGGGCCUGAUUGCCCAGAAUUAAGGAAGCUUGCAAUUAGAAUCCUCAGUCAAACAUGUAGUGCAACUGGAUGUGAAAGAAACUGGAGUGUAUUUCAGCACAUCCAUAGUAAGAAGAGGAAUAGGCUGGAACAUAAAAGGUUGAAUGACCUUGUUUAUGUUCGUUAUAAUAUGAAGUUGAGACAAAGGCAACUAGAAACAACAUCUACGAGGAAGCAUCACAAUCAAUAUGAUCCUAUCUUCAUUGACCAUUUUGAUAUAUUAGAUUCUUGGGUUGAAGAAGACGAUCUUGAUUUUUUGAAUGUUGAAGGGGCAGCAGAGAUUGUUGAAGAAGGAGAGGCUGGGGGGGGAGCAAUGGAAUGUUGGUGACAUUCCAUUUGCAACAGAGGGGAUAGAAGAAGAAGUUAAUGAAGGAAGUGAAGAUGAUGAUGAAUGAAGAUGAUGAUGCAAAUGACGAUUGACAAUGCUUUUUGUUUUGAGUUUUGAAACUAUGUCAAUAUGUUCUGAGUUUUGACUUCUGAACUUAUGAAUUGUGAUGUAAUUGAAUACUCUUAGGUUGUUUAGUAUGUUAUUUUGUUUUUUGAAUGUUUGAUUUCUUAUUUUGGAAUGUCUUGUUCAUAUGCAUAGCUCACAGGUCAUACUUCAUAUACAUGAAUGAUGAAUGUUCCUUUAAAUACAUUUUUCUUGAAUUUUUCUGAUUUUUACUAGUUUUUUCGGAUUUUUUUAGAAUUUUUCUGAUUUUUUUCUAUUUUUUAUAAAUUUUUAAUAUUUUUUACAAAUUAAAAAAUUAAUUUUACGAUACGUUACGAUACAUUUACGAUACGUUACGAUACGGCGUAUAGGUCGGCCCGACUGAUACACGAUACGAUACGGCAGUGAUAACAUUGAUCUGAAGAUUUAGUGGUAACAAAAAAGACAUACAUAACUUUUCGAUAUUCCUAAAAAUGAACAUCAAUUUGCAUCAUUAGUUAAAAACAAACUUCUAUCGAUAAUUCUAGGUUAUUACUAACUUAAGCUGGGUGGGCUAAUAUGAUAAAAAUACUAAAAUAAGCUUCUAUCAAUACUUCUAGGUUAUUACUAAAGUAAGUUGGGCUAAUGUGAUAAAAAUACUAAGCAUGCCAUCAAUAAAAACAAAUUUCAAGACCCAUUCAAUUAGUAAAGUGAAUGUUUUAUUUUCUUUGUUAAUGCCAGAAAUUCAUCCAAGGGAAACCUAUAUGUUGGCAACUCUGUAACACGGGUACUCCUCCAAAGGAGGAGUACCUGUCCAGUACCAGUACGACACCGGUACGGGUACGGCACCCGGUAUGCCAAU
Molecule: RNA transcript, 3533 nt
Organism: Nymphaea colorata (pocket water lily)
Lineage: Eukaryota; Viridiplantae; Streptophyta; Magnoliopsida; Nymphaeales; Nymphaeaceae
Exons: 2
Source: RefSeq, a predicted model, not a curated record